Molecule: transfer RNA, 72 nt
Filed under: Camelus bactrianus (Bactrian camel)
Lineage: Eukaryota; Metazoa; Chordata; Mammalia; Artiodactyla; Camelidae
Also listed under: 2 other names
Rfam family: tRNA
About the family: Transfer RNA (tRNA) molecules are approximately 80 nucleotides in length.
Source: Rfam by way of RNAcentral
GAGGGUGUAGCUCAGUGGUAGAGUGUGCACUUAGCAUGCACAAGGUCCUGAGUUCAAUUCCCAGUACCUCCA